This is a long non-coding RNA of Bufo bufo (common toad), 157 nucleotides long. RefSeq lists it as uncharacterized. The transcript is spliced from 3 exons. The record is from RefSeq and is a predicted model, not a curated record. NCBI's taxonomy places the organism in Eukaryota, Metazoa, Chordata, Amphibia, Anura, Bufonidae.
UUGAAGAGGCCACGGCACUCCAGUGAGCUCUGCAGCCUUCUCCCAGCAGCUCUGCCAAGCACAGCGCCGUACAUUGUAUAGUGGCAGUGCUUGAUAUUGCAGCUCAGCCCCAUUCACUUGAAUAGGGCAGAGCUGCAACUAAGCCACGUGACCAAUG